Non-coding RNA from Vicia faba (fava bean), 303 nucleotides. NCBI's taxonomy places the organism in Eukaryota, Viridiplantae, Streptophyta, Magnoliopsida, Fabales, Fabaceae. The record is from the annotation of a GenBank genome assembly.
AUGCAACGAUUUCUCAUAGUUCGCCGCGGCUAUCCUUUCUCACCCCUGUCUUCCUCCUUCUCCUGGCUUCUAGUUCAGUUCGCCUUCAUCAAUCCACAAUUUCAACAUAACCUUGUUCUUACCAUCUUCAAUUCAAACCAACACCGGCCACAUCAUAGAUGUCGUUGCAACGAUUCUCUUUCGAUCGCCUCGCCGAUCAACACAUCUUCUCAGUCUCACGCAUUCACCGUUUCCAGAUCAAACCAAAUAUAUAAACCACAGUGCAUAGAAAAGCUAGGAAUUCAGAUCAAAGCCUUAGAGUGA